This 484-nucleotide ribosomal RNA is filed under the name uncultured bacterium. Its description in RNAcentral is "partial 16S ribosomal RNA". It matches the Rfam family "Bacterial small subunit ribosomal RNA", at positions 30 to 507 of the family's 1533-position model. The record is from RNAcentral.
AUUGAACGCUGGCGGCAGGCCUAACACAUGCAAGUCGAGCGGAUGAAGGGAGCUUGCUCCUGGAUUCAGCGGCGGACGGGUGAGUAAUGCCUAGGAAUCUGCCUGGUAGUGGGGGAUAACGUCCGGAAACGGGCGCUAAUACCGCAUACGUCCUGAGGGAGCAAGUGGGGGAUCUUCGGACCUCACGCUAUCAGAUGAGCCUAGGUCGGAUUAGCUAGUUGGUGGGGUAAAGGCCUACCAAGGCGACGAUCCGUAACUGGUCUGAGAGGAUGAUCAGUCACACUGGAACUGAGACACGGUCCAGACUCCUACGGGAGGCAGCAGUGGGGAAUAUUGGACAAUGGGCGAAAGCCUGAUCCAGCCACGCCGCGUGUGUGAAGAAGGUCUUCGGAUUGUAAAGCACUUUAAGUUGGGAGGAAGGGCAGUAAGUUAAUACCUUGCUGUUUUGACGUUACCAACAGAAUAAGCACCGGCUAACUUCGUG